This is a transfer RNA of 77 nucleotides. It matches the Rfam family "tRNA". Rfam says of the family: Transfer RNA (tRNA) molecules are approximately 80 nucleotides in length. Their secondary structure includes four short double-helical elements and three loops (D, anti-codon, and T loops).
GUGACUGUAGCUCAGAUGGUUAGAGCGUCGGACUGUGAAUUCGAAGGCCGCCGGUUCAAUUCCGGUCAGUCACCCCA